UCGGGCCCAGGGGGUCACGGGCCCUGCCUCCCCGCCCCUCGCCGACCUCUCCCGCUCCCCGAAAACCCGGUAAUCCCGGGAAACGGCGGCUUCUGCCAGCGAGCUGGCUGGCUGAGCCCCGGGCAGCCCGGAGCGGGAGAACCUACAGAGCCUGGCGUCUGCCCGGGGUCGACUGAACACCGCCCGUCCUCCCAACACCCCGCUCCGCGUCCACCGACUGGACUCAAGAACCCCCUCCCCGACGGAGGAGGGGUAGGCGGCUCGGAAUCCGCAAACCGGCGCGCGUCCACUCGCCCGCCAACUGCAGCCGCCACCUGCUCGCCAGGGCCCGCGCCAGCCCCGCCGUCGUGGGUCGCUUACCUUGUGGCUCUUCCCCCCCGGGGGACACCUGACGUUGUUGGAGGCUCCCGCUGUCUGAUUCAUGUCGGGAGGAACUUGGGAACCGGUGCUCUAGAACCUCUCCAAGUUCCUCGGCGCCUGGAGGGUGGCGAGGGGCGCGUCUCCCGGAGGCGAGGUGGGGUCCUGGCAGUCCAGCCGCGUCCGGGCGGCGUCCCCCACGCGGCAGGUUUCCGAGGGACCCCCCGCCCAGGGAGGGUGAACGCUGCAAGCCCCGGAGCCGAAGAAGGAGAAGCAGCUGCUGGGACCCCAGAGGGAGCCGGGCCGGCGCCGGCGGCUCCGAGGGCGCUGUGCCCGGGGCUGCCUUCUCCGGGAAGCAGUCCAGGACUGUCCGGACCUGAGCGCCAGCAGAUCCUAAAGGAGCUCCUGGGAGAGGCGAGGAGAUUCAGCUUCAAUCCUGUUUUCUUACGUCUUAAAGUUCAAGAGCAAGCACUCAGGAGGUGGUGGCUGUGCCUUUGUGCCUGGGGUUUCCUAAGACUAACCACCCGGGCAGAACCUAUAAAGACGGGAGAUUUUUUCCUGAAAACAGUCCUGCGGUGCCACUUACACUUGCCUUGGAGAAUGUAGACCCCCCCGAACGCUGCUGGUGUGGACAUCAGUUCUUCUCUGACAGAAGACACCAG
This 1019-nucleotide long non-coding RNA is filed under the name Capra hircus (goat). Its description in RNAcentral is "lncRNA (ENSCHIG00000007223.1)". The record is from RNAcentral. Lineage: Eukaryota; Metazoa; Chordata; Mammalia; Artiodactyla; Bovidae.